This 253-nucleotide ribosomal RNA is filed under the name uncultured bacterium. Its description in RNAcentral is "partial 16S ribosomal RNA". It matches the Rfam family "Bacterial small subunit ribosomal RNA", at positions 524 to 776 of the family's 1533-position model. The record is from RNAcentral.
UACGAAGGGUGCAAGCGUUACUCGGAAUUACUGGGCGUAAAGCGUGCGUAGGUGGUUCGUUAAGUCUGAUGUGAAAGCCCUGGGCUCAACCUGGGAAUGGCAUUGGAAACUGGCGACCUAGAGUGCGGUAGAGGGUAGUGGAAUUCCCGGUGUAGCAGUGAAAUGCGUAGAGAUCGGGAGGAACAUCCGUGGCGAAGGCGACUACCUGGACCAGCACUGACACUCAGGAGCGAAAGCGUGGGGAGCAAACAGG